Molecule: long non-coding RNA, 652 nt
Filed under: Trifolium pratense (red clover)
Lineage: Eukaryota; Viridiplantae; Streptophyta; Magnoliopsida; Fabales; Fabaceae
Description: long non-coding RNA (TPRA_LNC009466)
Source: RNAcentral
UCUCCAGAAGAUUGAACGCAGAGAGUUCGAAGAAGAGAGCGCUUGAGUUGAGACGAGGGACGACAUAGACUUCGUCAAAUGAAGGGAUUUAGGUUUCCUAAUCUGAAGGAAUGAUUGAGUUGAACAGACUAGAAGAAACCUUAAUUCUUUCUUUUUGGUAUAAAGAAAACCUUUAUUCUAUUCUACUAACAACACUUUUAUUCAAAAAAAAAUAAUCUAACAACACUUGAUUUUUAUUUUUUUUGGUACAUUGAUUUACUACUACUAACAAUUAUUUUAUUUUUUUGUUUAAAAAAAAAACAAUUAUUUUUUUUGACAGGAAACUAUUAUUUUUAUUUUAUUUUUUAAAAGAAUCUAAUAAUUAGGCGCCAAUAUUCCCCCUUAUUUUUUUCACUAAAUUUUGAAAUAAAAUAAAAAUUGUCUUAAAUAUGAGACGGAAAUAAAACCAUCCGUCCCAACUUUGUGGCAGAAAUGUCAAUCCGUCUCGAAUUGGAGACAGAAUAUAAAUUCCGUCCCGAACUAUUAAAAAGUUUUUAAAAAAAUACUCGUGACAGAAAAUCGUCGCAAAUUUCGUCCCGAUUUAAUUAUUUUGGGACGGAAAAAAUUUCCGUCACAAAAUUCCGUCUUAAUUGAAUUAUUUUCUAGUAGUGAU